Molecule: ribosomal RNA, 329 nt
Filed under: uncultured Terriglobales bacterium
Lineage: Bacteria; Pseudomonadati; Acidobacteriota; Terriglobia; Terriglobales
Description: bacterial SSU rRNA
Rfam family: Bacterial small subunit ribosomal RNA
Source: RNAcentral
GGCUGACUGUACCGGUGGAGGAAGCCACGGCUAACUCUGUGCCAGCAGCCGCGGUAAUACAGAGGUGGCAAGCGUUGUUCGGAAUUACUGGGCGUAAAGGGCGCGUAGGCGGUUCGGUAAGUCCCGCGUGAAAUCCCCCGGCUCAACUGGGGAACUGCGCGGGAAACUGCCGGGCUUGAGUUCGGGAGAGGGAAGCGGAAUUCCGGGUGUAGCGGUGAAAUGCGCAGAUAUCCGGAGGAACACCGGUGGCGAAGGCGGCUUCCUGGACCGACACUGACGCUGAGGCGCGAAAGCUAGGGGAGCAAACGGGAUUAGAUACCCGUGUAGUC